AGCGAACGCUGGCGGCAGGCCUAACACAUGCAGGUCGAACGAACUCUUCGGAGUUAGUGGCGGACGGGUGAGUAACACGUGGGAACGUGCCUUUUGGUUCGGAAUAACUCAGGGAAACUUGUGCUAAUACCGAAUGUGCCCUUCGGGGGAAAGAUUUAUCGCCAUUAGAGCGGCCCGCGUCUGAUUAGCUAGUUGGUGAGGUAACGGCUCACCAAGGCGACGAUCAGUAGCUGGUCUGAGAGGAUGACCAGCCACACUGGGACUGAGACACGGCCCAGACUCCUACGGGAGGCAGCAGUGGGGAAUCUUGAGCAAUGGGCGAAAGGCUGACGCAGCCAUGCCGCGUGAAUGAUGAAGGUCGUAGGAUUGUAAAAUUCUUUCACCGGGGACGAUAAUGACGGUACCCGGAGAAGAAGCCCCGGCUAACUUCGUG
RNAcentral lists this ribosomal RNA (433 nucleotides) under uncultured bacterium. Its description in RNAcentral is "partial 16S ribosomal RNA". It matches the Rfam family "Bacterial small subunit ribosomal RNA", at positions 29 to 507 of the family's 1533-position model. The record is from RNAcentral.